AACGAACGCUGGCGGCAUGCCUAACACAUGCAAGUCGAACGGGCUGUAGCAAUACAGUCAGUGGCGAACGGGUGAAUAACGCGUGGGAACCUACCUCGGAGUUCGGAAUAACCGCGGGAAACUGCGGCUAAUACCGGAUACGGCCUGAGGGCGAAAGGAGCAAUCCGCUCCGGGAGGGGCCCGCGUCCGAUUAGCUAGUUGGUGGGGUAACGGCCUACCAAGGCGAUGAUCGGUAGCUGGUCUGAGAGGAUGAUCAGCCACACUGGAACUGCGACACGGUCCAGACUCCUACGGGAGGCAGCAGUGGGGAAUAUUGGACAAUGGGGGAAACCCUGAUCCAGCAAUGCCGCGU
Molecule: ribosomal RNA, 352 nt
Filed under: uncultured bacterium
Lineage: Bacteria
Description: bacterial SSU rRNA
Rfam family: Bacterial small subunit ribosomal RNA
Source: RNAcentral